GGCAGUUCUCAGGUGAUGCACCCCAGAAUCGGGCUCCCUCCUCUCUGGGUCCGGGGUGCGUCACCCGAGAACCGCC
Molecule: non-coding RNA, 76 nt
Organism: Myotis lucifugus (little brown bat)
Lineage: Eukaryota; Metazoa; Chordata; Mammalia; Chiroptera; Vespertilionidae
Source: Rfam